CGAUUAUCAAUAAUCAAAGAUAUACUGUUAUUUACGCAUGUUUAAGCCAUAAUGUGUGCCUGUCCAUGCCAUAUUACAAGCAUAUUACAUAUUAUUGCAAAUCACAUUCUUGCAACAUAAAACUCUUUGUGCGGCUCGAGUUUCAACAGCUUGUAUGCUACUGCUGCACUGAAUCAGUAUUUAUUUAUAAAUCUGCCAAAAGCUUGCCAAAACUGGGGUAGAUGGAUCCAUGAUCACACGCGUAACAACGAGCAACCGUGCACAACGCAUUUUAAAUUCCUUUUUUACUCUUUUCACAGCGGGAGAUAGAGCACAGAAGAAAGUCAAGAUUACAGUACAAUAGUAACGGAAUUCUCUGAAUAACAGCAAAUAAAAAAUACAGGUACAAUUGAAUUCUCAAUGAAAAGAUCGACGUAUACAGAUUUUUCGGUCCGAUUUAUUCAAAAAACUGUAGUAACACUUCGAAAAUUCCCUUGGAAGCUCUUCUUACACGACUUUCACGCAUCUAUUUUAACCUGAGAACUGGUGCAAACCGACAGGCACGACAUAGGAUUUCUUAAAUUAGUUCUGUUCGCCGGUUGCGCGUCGGAGCAAGCGCAUUAGUGACUUUCCUAAUACCUAACCUGACAUACGAACUGCUUUAGCCGAAAUGUAUCGAAAGUAGAAUUUCUACAUCUUUCAUUGGAAGAUGCGUUAAUAGUCUCAACGGUAAAACUUAUAUUAUGAUCAAUUUCAUAUUUGCUAUUAUCCAUAAUUUUUCAUUUCUUUGACUAACCGUAAAUACAAAAACUCUAAUGGAGCUGAAUGAUUGUUGGAGUGAGUGUUAUAUUAUAAAAAGUUACACGUUGAUCAUCGCAAACGAAUAAAUAUAAAUUUAGGCAGAAAACUAUGCACGAAUUAUGUUAUUAAUAUUCCGAUAAAGCUUUUAAAAUAACUGUUUGACAGAAGAAAUUAAAUUAGUUGACUAUGCAGUAAAAUGAUAAUCUUUCGAUAGAAAUUUUAAUGAAUAAUUCUUAAUACAGGAAUAGUUCGUAACUUGACAAACUUAUUCAGUACAACUCAACACCUUUCUAUUUUCCAGCUUUAUAAUACUAAAUAGACAAUUCCGUUUAGAAAUAAAAUUUUUCUAUGCGUGUAUACAUAGAGAAUUGUGUGCAUAUGCACAACAAAGAAAAACAAAAUCAAAUAAGAUACCUGAGUAAUAAAAGAAAGCAAAAUAAAGACAAUAUUUUAUUAUUUUGGAAUAAUCAUUUAAAAUUAUUCCUAUGUACAAUUCUUUAGCAACAACUUUUAAAAAAAGUAUUUUACUAUAAGAUAGCAGUUAAUUUGAUGCAUGAAAGUAGCUUGAGUAAGAUUUUAUAAAAGCAGGUCGAGGUAACAAUAUCUAAAAAGAACGCUGAAUGAUCAUUAAAGGUAUACACGAAAUUUGUUUCAUUUUAUUAUUCAUCAAAUUUACCGAAUCGGAUAUUUGAACAAUGUACAUACCUUAUAUUAGUUCAGAAACAUAACAAAAUUAUAGGUAAUACCGAAUAUGAAAUUGACCAUAACAUAUGCAUCUGGGCAGAAAUUGGAAAUGUUAAUUGGAAUUAAAAAUUCGAGACGAUACUUCAAAGACGACACUUUCACGAUUUCAUUUGUAUAAUUUUUAAGAAUCAGAAUUAUAAUAAAAAAUUAUGCAAUUUAUAUUUAACAUUGAAAAUAUGCAAUUUAUUGCUACUAUAGCAGGUCAAAAGCAGCCAUAUUUGAACACAACUGAUGCUUCGAAAUAUAUUUUCCACGAUUUAAGAUUUACUUUCUUUUUAAAGAAUAAAUAUAUAACUUGGGAGAAAACUACGAAAAACGUUAAACCAAUUACAAAUAUGUAAGUAUAAAAAAGUAUUAGAUGUUAUAAUGGAGCUCACAUUUGAGAAAGUUUGUGAAUACAAGAUGUCGGAACCACGUUGCGAAAAGCAGAUAUUCCUCUGCCGUGGUCGUUGCAUCCGCUUGAUCACUUUGUCACAGUAACAAUAAUAUAAAAUAAAAAAGUAAAAAAAGAAUGCAAUAAGACCUGUAUCCUUUAAAGCCAGUACACAUAAGGACUUUCAGAUAGAAACGCGUAAAUUUUUAUAAGGAAAAGAAAAACGAUGCGUGUAAAGGGCGCUCGUUACAAUUAAAUAAAGGAUUACGUGUAUAAAUUCUACAGAAUAUCGCAAGAUAAAAAGAAACCUUAUAUAGGAACGGAAUAUAGUAAAGACGCAAAUACAUUAAGCGUAUUCGUUACGUUAUGAAGUAUGCAAGCUCAAAGAUGAGUAACCUUUUAAGUAGUAUGAAUGUAAAUAUAGAAUUAUGUAUAACUACGAAUAUACAAUUGUUGAUUAAAAAAUAAUAAUUAUAAAAGGAAAAGGGAAAUGGGAAAAACGGAGUAAAAAAUACAGCUGGCUAGCACAGCACGUGCUGGCUACUGGAGGAACCUCCGUUGUUCGACGAGGAAACAAGUCGGGAACCUCCCUCCAGCAACACAAUCGCCGAUGUUCGUGUACCUUCGGUACAUUUCGCGCCUUUUCGUCGUAUGAUGUCACAGUUUGGUUCGAAGCUCCCUUGGGAGUGUUAUAUAUACCUUGCAUUUCAAUCAUUGAAAAAAGAUCCGUUCACAUUAGAAACACGCAUUCCAAUAAAUUACAUGAUGUAUGCUACACUUUGUUCAUAAUAUUCUCAAAUUUUUAAAAAUUACUAGAAAUAAUCAAAUUUGUAACUUGUAUAAUGCAAUUUUGUUGAAAUGAUUGAAUUUAAUUUAAUGUGAUUAAGAAUAAAAAUUUUAAUCUCAUGGACAAUGUAUUUGUCGUCACUAUAGUCCUUUCAUUCCAUGUAUUUAAAACGUAUUUUUCCCCAAGAAAUAAGAAUUCACGUAAUAAAAUUAUGGUUUGACAAAUACACGAAAAACUAUUUUGCUCGAUUUUCCUCCGUACAAGUAAUGAAAAUUUAACCUUCUUUUCGUCCCCAUUUUUAAAAAAUAUCUAUAAUGGAACUAAUUUGACAUCUCUGUACUUUUAUUCCACUUUGCAAUAUAAAUUAAUGUUUUAUAAUAGACCUACUUUAAGAAAUAAUAGUUUCCAUUUAGAUCAUUAUUACGAACUAAAUAUUUUUGUUUUAAGAAAUUUUUGUCUUAUAGUAUUAUUCGAUCGUUUCAAUUAUAAAUUUGAGAUGUAUGCUUCACUUGCUUGAAUGUUCGAAUAUCUUUCAACUUCAAUAAUGUUAUUACUUAAAUGUGCCAUAUUAAAUUUCAUGAAAAAGUAUCACCUUGCAUAAUCUAUUUUGAGAAACAUUUAGUGUAUCGUUUAAUGCAAACUUCUUUGUAUACGUGCAAAAAUAAUCUAUGUAUAUUGAAUGUAUAUUGAAUGCUUUAAUGUACAUUGAAAUGAAUACGAAAUUAAUGUAUUAUUUAAAAUAAAAUUUGCGUCACAAUUGCGAAGUUUAAGUUGAAUGCAAGCAGAAGCAAUUAUAAAACUUUUAGGUGCUUUACAUUUUGUAAAAAAGAAUGAAAAGUUUCAAAAUAUUUAAACCUAUUUCCACGUAUGUAACUGAAGAAAUACGUUUCCUUUACACAUGAGAUACAUACGUUUUAAGUAUGCCUAUUUAACAUUACCGAAUUACUAGUUCAUAACAAUUAACAUGUAAACUUAUGGACAAUGAUGAUUAUCGAAGCUAUCACAGAAGCAAAGUUCAAAUUAUAGUGAUACGAGAAAAACGGAGGGAAACUAUGUAGAUAUAUCAGAAAUCUUAAUCUAUAACUCUAAUUUGUAUAUGUAUAUGAAAAUAUUGUAUUUUCUCGAAAAAUCAUUAUUGCAAUAUAUGAGUGUAGGAUACAUAUAGAAAAUGAUUAACGAUCAUGAGUAUAACUAUCAAUAAUAUUGUAAAUCAAAUAAGAAAUGUCUAUACAAAAACAUAAAUCAAUUAUUUGUAAGAAAAAUGUAAACUAAGCAAUAAUGUAUAUGUUCAUAUACUAAGAAUAUUUUGAAUAAAAAAGAAAAAAAUAAAGAAAUAUUUUCCAUAAAAUGUUAGAUAACAUACCUCACAUAAAUUAAAAAAUAGCAAUAUAAAAUCAUAAAAAAUUUACAUUUUUUAAACUUUUUCUCUUACAUAGAUAAAACAUGUUAUCUGCAUUUUAAAUGCCUUUUUUAUAUAAUAUUGCUCAAAUAUCAACCAAAAAAUUUAAAUAUAAUAAUAAAUGCAAUAUAAUAUCCCUUACUUGAUCAUUAUUAUUGCAAUAUCAUAUAUUACUCUAACUACAUUAUCAUGAAUUAUGUAUUACGAUAGCAAACAGAAAAAUAACUGAUAAAACAAAUGAAAACUUGGAAGUUUGCAAAA
Long non-coding RNA from Bombus huntii, 4344 nucleotides. RefSeq lists it as uncharacterized. Lineage: Eukaryota; Metazoa; Arthropoda; Insecta; Hymenoptera; Apidae. The record is from RefSeq and is a predicted model, not a curated record. The transcript is spliced from 4 exons.